UUAAGCGACUAAGCGUACACGGUGGAUGCCCUGGCAGUCAGAGGCGAUGAAGGGCGUGCUAAUCUGCGAUAAGCGCCGGUAAGGUGAUAUGAACCGUUAUAACCGACGAUACCCGAAUGGGGAAACCCAGUGUGACUCGUCACACUAUCAUUAACUGAAUCCAUAGGUUAAUGAGGCGAACCGGGGGAACUGAAACAUCUAAGUACCCCGAGGAAAAGAAAUCAACCGAGAUUCCCCCAGUAGCGGCGAGCGAACGGGGAGGAGCCCAGAGCCUGAAUCAGCAUGUGUGUUAGUGGAAGCGUCUGGAAAGGCGCGCGAUACAGGGUGACAGCCCCGUACACAAAAGCGCAUGUGCUGUGAGCUCGAUGAGUAGGGCGGGACACGUGGUAUCCUGUCUGAAUAUGGGGGGACCAUCCUCCAAGGCUAAAUACUCCUGACUGACCGAUAGUGAACCAGUACCGUGAGGGAAAGGCGAAAAGAACCCCGGCGAGGGGAGUGAAAAAGAACCUGAAACCGUGUACGUACAAGCAGUGGGAGCACAGGUUUACCUGUGUGACUGCGUACCUUUUGUAUAAUGGGUCAGCGACUUAUAUUCUGUAGCAAGGUUAACCGCAUAGGGGAGCCGGAGGGAAACCGAGUCUUAAUUGGGCGUUAAGUUGCAGGGUAUAGACCCGAAACCCGGUGAUCUAGCCAUGGGCAGGUUGAAGGUUGGGUAACACUAACUGGAGGACCGAACCGACUAAUGUUGAAAAAUUAGCGGAUGACCUGUGGCUGGGGGUGAAAGGCCAAUCAAACCGGGAGAUAGCUGGUUCUCCCCGAAAGCUAUUUAGGUAGCGCCUCGUGAACUCAUCUCCGGGGGUAGAGCACUGUUUCGGCUAGGGGGCCAUCCCGGCUUACCAACCCGAUGCAAACUGCGAAUACCGGAGAAUGUUAUCACGGGAGACACACGGCGGGUGCUAACGUCCGUCGUGAAGAGGGAAACAACCCAGACCGCCAGCUAAGGUCCCAAAGUCAUGGUUAAGUGGGAAACGAUGUGGGAAGGCCCAGACAGCCAGGAUGUUGGCUUAGAAGCAGCCAUCAUUUAAAGAAAGCGUAAUAGCUCACUGGUCGAGUCGGCCUGCGCGGAAGAUGUAACGGGGCUAAACCAUGCACCGAAGCUGCGGCAGCGACGCUUAUGCGUUGUUGGGUAGGGGAGCGUUCUGUAAGCCUGUGAAGGUGGCCUGUGAGGGUUGCUGGAGGUAUCAGAAGUGCGAAUGCUGACAUAAGUAACGAUAAAGCGGGUGAAAAGCCCGCUCGCCGGAAGACCAAGGGUUCCUGUCCAACGUUAAUCGGGGCAGGGUGAGUCGACCCCUAAGGCGAGGCCGAAAGGCGUAGUCGAUGGGAAACGGGUUAAUAUUCCCGUACUUGGUGUUACUGCGAAGGGGGGACGGAGAAGGCUAUGUUGGCCGGGCGACGGUUGUCCCGGUUUAAGCGUGUAGGCUGGUUUUCCAGGCAAAUCCGGAAAAUCAAGGCUGAGGCGUGACGACGAGGCACUACGGUGCUGAAGCAACAAAUGCCCUGCUUCCAGGAAAAGCCUCUAAGCAUCAGGUAACAUCAAAUCGUACCCCAAACCGACACAGGUGGUCAGGUAGAGAAUACCAAGGCGCUUGAGAGAACUCGGGUGAAGGAACUAGGCAAAAUGGUGCCGUAACUUCGGGAGAAGGCACGCUGACACGUAGGUGAAGUGAUUUACUCAUGGAGCUGAAGUCAGUCGAAGAUACCAGCUGGCUGCAACUGUUUAUUAAAAACACAGCACUGUGCAAACACGAAAGUGGACGUAUACGGUGUGACGCCUGCCCGGUGCCGGAAGGUUAAUUGAUGGGGUCAGCGCAAGCGAAGCUCCUGAUCGAAGCCCCGGUAAACGGCGGCCGUAACUAUAACGGUCCUAAGGUAGCGAAAUUCCUUGUCGGGUAAGUUCCGACCUGCACGAAUGGCGUAAUGAUGGCCAGGCUGUCUCCACCCGAGACUCAGUGAAAUUGAACUCGCUGUGAAGAUGCAGUGUACCCGCGGCAAGACGGAAAGACCCCGUGAACCUUUACUAUAGCUUGACACUGAACAUUGAGCCUUGAUGUGUAGGAUAGGUGGGAGGCUUUGAAGUGUGGACGCCAGUCUGCAUGGAGCCGACCUUGAAAUACCACCCUUUAAUGUUUGAUGUUCUAACGUGGACCCGUUACCCGGGUUGCGGACAGUGUCUGGUGGGUAGUUUGACUGGGGCGGUCUCCUCCUAAAGAGUAACGGAGGAGCACGAAGGUUGGCUAAUCCUGGUCGGACAUCAGGAGGUUAGUGCAAUGGCAUAAGCCAGCUUGACUGCGAGCGUGACGGCGCGAGCAGGUGCGAAAGCAGGUCAUAGUGAUCCGGUGGUUCUGAAUGGAAGGGCCAUCGCUCAACGGAUAAAAGGUACUCCGGGGAUAACAGGCUGAUACCGCCCAAGAGUUCAUAUCGACGGCGGUGUUUGGCACCUCGAUGUCGGCUCAUCACAUCCUGGGGCUGAAGUAGGUCCCAAGGGUAUGGCUGUUCGCCAUUUAAAGUGGUACGCGAGCUGGGUUUAGAACGUCGUGAGACAGUUCGGUCCCUAUCUGCCGUGGGCGCUGGAGAACUGAGGGGGGCUGCUCCUAGUACGAGAGGACCGGAGUGGACGCAUCACUGGUGUUCGGGUUGUCAUGCCAAUGGCACUGCCCGGUAGCUAAAUGCGGAAGAGAUAAGUGCUGAAAGCAUCUAAGCACGAAACUUGCCCCGAGAUGAGUUCUCCCUGAGACUUAGAGUCUCCUGAAGGAACGUUGAAGACGACGACGUUGAUAGGCCGGGUGUGUAAGCGCAGCGAUGCGUUGAGCUAACCGGUACUAAUGAACCGUGAGGCUUAACCUU
RNAcentral lists this ribosomal RNA (2904 nucleotides) under Salmonella enterica subsp. enterica serovar Hartford. RNAcentral's name for it is "bacterial LSU rRNA". It matches the Rfam family "Bacterial large subunit ribosomal RNA". Lineage: Bacteria; Pseudomonadati; Pseudomonadota; Gammaproteobacteria; Enterobacterales; Enterobacteriaceae. The record is from RNAcentral.